UCUGGUCUGUCACUGACAGCUGAGGCGCGAAAGCGUGGGUAGCAAACAGGAUUAGAUACCCUGGUAGUCCAUGCCGUAAACGAUGUCUACUAGCCGUUAGGAGCCUCAAGUUCUUAUGGGCCCAUUUAACCCGAUAACUCUCCCGCCGGGGAAGUACGGCCCCAAGGUUAAAACUCAAAUGAAUUGACGGGGGCCGCCCCAACCGGGGAACCUGGGGGUU
This 220-nucleotide ribosomal RNA is filed under the name Halomonas urumqiensis. RNAcentral describes it as "partial 16S ribosomal RNA". It matches the Rfam family "Bacterial small subunit ribosomal RNA", at positions 728 to 946 of the family's 1533-position model. Lineage: Bacteria; Pseudomonadati; Pseudomonadota; Gammaproteobacteria; Oceanospirillales; Halomonadaceae. The record is from RNAcentral.